RNAcentral lists this long non-coding RNA (532 nucleotides) under Gossypium barbadense (sea-island cotton). Its description in RNAcentral is "long non-coding RNA (GBAR_LNC000724)". Lineage: Eukaryota; Viridiplantae; Streptophyta; Magnoliopsida; Malvales; Malvaceae. The record is from RNAcentral.
UCAUAUUUGGCAGUAAAAUUGGAACUUGUGUUUUCAUUUCAAGUUCGUUAAAUACCAAAAGCAUAUAAAAUUAUAUGUAUAAAAACAGGAGUUAGGGGCUAUGGUUUUAUUUUUAUAUAACUCUUCAGACUACAUAGAAGGAAAUAUGAUUAAAUCAAAUAUGGUAACGUCAACAGAUAAAGUUCAAUCCAAACAGAAAAAAGACAAUGACCACAUGAUAAUGAUCGGACGUACCAUGUGAUUCGGGGGUCAAUCAAUACAGUACGUGCAAACAUUGGCAGCAUGGACCGAACAUCGAAAUCUAAACCCUAAAGUGAAAUGGACAGAUCGGGUAUUUCGUGGUUAAAAAAGAAUCCCAUCAUCAUCAUCCAUCAUCAUCGACGUACUUAAUGUGCAUUGCAUGCAAGCACAUGUGGCUCAAACUCGUCGAAGAGUUCCACUUUCCUGUGUAUGCCCAUACCCUCAUCAUGUUCAUUGCGGUGUUUUAUUAGAGGCAUACAUAUAUACAUUGCAGCAACAAACUGAAGCUAAA